AGCCAUUUUGGCUCAAGGUUCACUGGUGCCUCUGACGCGCGUUGGCCAUGGCGCCGACUUGCCCCACUGCCGAACUGAAUUGCCAUCCCUGUCGCGCGGGAUGUACAAACCGACGCAGCCUGUCCGAGCCCCCGCAUGUCCGUAGCCAUUUUGGCUCCAGGUUCGCUGGUGCCUCUGACGCGCGUUGGCCAUGGCGCCGACUUGUCCCACUGCCGAACUGAGUUGCCAUCCCUGUCGCGCGGGAUGUAAAAACCGACGCAGCCUGUCCGAGCCCCCGCAUGUCCGUAGCCAUUUUGGCU
Molecule: unclassified non-coding RNA, 299 nt
Filed under: Prorocentrum minimum
Lineage: Eukaryota; Dinophyceae; Prorocentrales; Prorocentraceae
Description: trans-spliced leader sequence SL-g1
Source: RNAcentral